Molecule: non-coding RNA, 45 nt
Organism: Schistosoma mansoni
Lineage: Eukaryota; Metazoa; Platyhelminthes; Trematoda; Strigeidida; Schistosomatidae
Source: Rfam
AUCCAGCUGAUGAGUCCCAAAUGGGAUGAAACGUACGUCAUGGAU